RNAcentral lists this non-coding RNA (23 nucleotides) under Arabidopsis thaliana (thale cress). The record is from RNAcentral. Lineage: Eukaryota; Viridiplantae; Streptophyta; Magnoliopsida; Brassicales; Brassicaceae.
UACGUGUUUUGGAAGCCUCGGUA